Molecule: long non-coding RNA, 1344 nt
Organism: Manis javanica (Malayan pangolin)
Lineage: Eukaryota; Metazoa; Chordata; Mammalia; Pholidota; Manidae
Source: RefSeq, a predicted model, not a curated record
ACGGCGGCCAGAAGCGGACAAGAGAUUUCUACGGAGAGGAGGGAUGAGUUGGGUGACAUCUGAGACGCAGCGGCAGAUCCGCAGGCAGCCAGGCUCCGCAGCUACGGCGGCGGCCUGGGUGGUGUCGGUGCUGCCGGGGGCGGCUGAGAGGUACCGGUGGAGAGCCUCCCGAGCCGCGGCUGCCCUAGGUAGCGGGCUCCACUCAGGAUACCACAUUACAUUUACCUAUCAUGUCUUCUUAAGUUCUUCUUGGCUGUGACAGACUCUCAAAUUUUCCUUGAUUUUGAUGACCCUGACAGUUUUGAGGAGUGUUGGUCAGAUAUUUAUUAGGAUUUCCUUGUACUGGAAUCUGUCGGAUGUUUUUCUCAAGAUUAGACUGGGAUUAUGGGGGUUUUUUGAGAGGAAGACCACAGAGGGUGGUGUUGCUCUCUGCCUUAAUGUCAGUUGAUAUGGUGGAAGUCAUCAAAAAGUUCACGAGAGAUGAUUUCAAACUCUGGUGAAAAAGGAAGAAUUGACCAUUGAAAGGGUCAAUAUUUUGUAAUAAUUUUGGGAGAAGGGAAUCAAUUUGGGAGGAAAGCUGUGGCCUUAAACAUUGAAGGAGAUGAGAGGAUUCUUUGUGACACCAAGACCUGCAAACUACAGCUGUGACACUGAGGCCUUCUACAAACUGCAAUGGAGGAAAUGCCAGUGAAUGUGGCUGACCUUAUUUAAUUCCUGGGAUGAGAUAGUUUUGAAUGCAGUGCUCACUGUUGCUUGAAUAGGCAACAAAAAGUGCAUCGUGCUUCCUUCUUUGGGAAUAUUAGAAGCUUGUCUCAAUGCUCAUAACAGAUCAGAAAUAAAGAUUUUGAUAGUGAAGUGACUUUAGCUGUGAGCUAUUGUGAGGAAAAUAAAUCAUUGGCUUUAUCCUCUUUAGACUUUGAAUGUUGGGGUUUGGCUAUGAAAGAUGGGGUUGUAAAAAUCUUACUUAAAAAUUUAUUUCCUAGUUCUGUAAAAAUGGAUAUACUGAGUGUUCUCUUAUCAUUUAAUGAUAUACUUGUGGACUGAAAGAUAUGUACUGUAUAAAUGCAGCCAGUUAUAUUAAACUAGUGUAUCUGCUUUUAUUGUGCUAGCCAUUAGACUGAAUAGAACAAACUUUAAGAUGAUUUUUUUAAAGAAGAUAUUCGAAUUCAUUUUCUUUGGUGUUGUGUUUUUAUUCAGUAAAGCAUUUUAUUAGUGGUAAUUGUGAACUGGAGCCUUUUGCUAAGCACCAGCCACAGUCAUAUCCUAGGGUUAAAUACCAGAAAAAUUGCCAUAUUUUAUGUUGAAUGUUUAAUAAAUUACAAUAAAGUAUAUUUUUCUUUUAAA